AAGAACAGAUAAGAUAACCGCCAGGAACACAACGCCAGAAGUCCCGCCCCUGAGUGGCGCGUAAUGAACGGACCGUCCCUCUCCAGUUCUUCAUUGGCCCAGCGACACUGAUGCUUACGGUGGAGACCCUUCUGGGCAUGCCUCUCACCGAUGCCUUAUCUCUAAGAUUCUCCAACAGCUGUCAGCCGACAACAUGCUCAACAUGUAAUAUAGCUAAUCCUUCAAAGCCAACAAGAAUGUGAAGGCCGGUGCAACCUUGAAAACUACUUUGACCAACCUUAACCGCACAAUGACUCUUACUCUGUCCAUAAUAGUGUUUAAGGACAGAUUUUCCCUAUCUUAAACAACAGCAGAGACUGACCAAGUGCUCAUAAUUACCCGUAACAUGCCCACUAAUUUAGCUUGACAAAUUUUAGUCAGGCUUCUCUCCUCCUCAUAGGUUCCUGAACUUUGGCUCAUCCCCAGGCUUAAGCAAGCACUAAGAUACACACACUCCACCCCACCCCCCCUUAACAGCUCAUUCUGAGAACAGGCUAACUACAGAGAGAAACAUUACCUGUUCCCAUCAUGCUCUCUGCUCAGUCCCACCACUUGCCCCCUCAUACAAAUUUCCUGCUAUCCCUGAUUACCCUUCCCUAUAAAAGAAUACCUUUUUCUGUUCGAUUUUGAGACAUUUGCAGAACUUGUAGUCAGAGCGUUCUCCCUAUUGUAAUUGUCUUUUCGAAUAAAGUUUCUUCUUACA
Molecule: long non-coding RNA, 742 nt
Organism: Equus asinus (donkey)
Lineage: Eukaryota; Metazoa; Chordata; Mammalia; Perissodactyla; Equidae
Source: Ensembl